GAUCAUGGCUCAGGAUGAACGCUAGCUACAGGCUUAACACAUGCAAGUCGAGGGGCAGCAUUUUAGUUUGCUUGCAAACUAAAGAUGGCGACCGGCGCACGGGUGAGUAACACGUAUCCAACCUGCCGAUAACUCGGGGAUAGCCUUUCGAAAGAAAGAUUAAUGCCCGAUGGUUUCAAGGGAUUGCAUGGUAUCUUGAAUAAAGAUUCAUCGGUAUGCGAUGGGGAUGCGUU
RNAcentral lists this ribosomal RNA (233 nucleotides) under uncultured bacterium. RNAcentral describes it as "partial 16S ribosomal RNA". It matches the Rfam family "Bacterial small subunit ribosomal RNA", at positions 15 to 237 of the family's 1533-position model. The record is from RNAcentral.